Molecule: ribosomal RNA, 482 nt
Filed under: uncultured bacterium
Lineage: Bacteria
Description: partial 16S ribosomal RNA
Rfam family: Bacterial small subunit ribosomal RNA
Source: RNAcentral
AUUGAACGCUGGCGGCAUGCCUUACACAUGCAAGUCGAACGGUAAUAGGUCUUCGGAUGCUGACGAGUGGCGAACGGGUGAGUAAUACAUCGGAACGUGCCCGAUCGUGGGGGAUAACGGAGCGAAAGCUUUGCUAAUACCGCAUACGGUCUACGGAUGAAAGCAGGGGACCGCAAGGCCUUGCGCGGACGGAGCGGCCGAUGGCAGAUUAGGUAGUUGGUGGGAUAAAAGCUUACCAAGCCGACGAUCUGUAGCUGGUCUGAGAGGACGACCAGCCACACUGGGACUGAGACACGGCCCAGACUCCUACGGGAGGCAGCAGUGGGGAAUUUUGGACAAUGGGCGAAAGCCUGAUCCAGCCAUGCCGCGUGCAGGAUGAAGGCCUUCGGGUUGUAAACUGCUUUUGUACGGAACGAAAAGACUCUUUCUAAUAAAGAGGGUCCAUGACGGUACCGUAAGAAUAAGCACCGGCUAACUACGUG